UCUUAUACUUUAUAAGAGUAUAAAUUUUAUUUUUUUUAAAUGGCAACAUAUAUAUUUAAAGUAUCGUAUAUAAUGAAAAUAAUUCAAAUCAAAAAAAUGACUGGUCUACAAUAAUUUUUAGUCGUAUACUUCGGAAGUUAUUACUAUUCUAAAAAAAAGCGACUAGGGAUGAAUUGUAAGAUUACUUUGAAUCCUAAUAAUAAGAGAACACUGCAACACAUACAAAUAAAAUAAUCAAUCAUUAUACAAAGUUAUCAAAAACAGUAUUUUUUUGGGAUCUGGAUAUUACUGCGGUAAACAUUUAUUACU
This is a long non-coding RNA of Daktulosphaira vitifoliae (grape phylloxera), 309 nucleotides long. RefSeq lists it as uncharacterized. The transcript is spliced from 3 exons. NCBI's taxonomy places the organism in Eukaryota, Metazoa, Arthropoda, Insecta, Hemiptera, Phylloxeridae. The record is from RefSeq and is a predicted model, not a curated record.